AUCUAGCUGACGAGUCGUAAAUAGGACGAGACGCGCGUUUUAAAU
RNAcentral lists this non-coding RNA (45 nucleotides) under Schistosoma haematobium. Lineage: Eukaryota; Metazoa; Platyhelminthes; Trematoda; Strigeidida; Schistosomatidae. The record is from RNAcentral.